GACGUAGGGCGCGAGCGUUGUCCGGAUUUAUUGGGCGUAAAGAGCUCGUAGGCGGCUUGUCGCGUCGUCCGUGAAAACCUGCGGCUCAACUGCAGGCUGGCGGUCGAUACGGGCAGGCUGGAGUUCGGUAGGGGAGACUGGAAUUCCUGGUGUAGCGGUGAAAUGCGCAGAUAUCAGGAGGAACACCGGUGGCGAAGGCAGCACUCUGGGACGGUACUGACGCUGAGACGCGAAAGCGUGGGGAGCGAACAGG
RNAcentral lists this ribosomal RNA (253 nucleotides) under uncultured bacterium. RNAcentral's name for it is "partial 16S ribosomal RNA". It matches the Rfam family "Bacterial small subunit ribosomal RNA", at positions 524 to 776 of the family's 1533-position model. The record is from RNAcentral.